This 406-nucleotide ribosomal RNA is filed under the name uncultured bacterium. RNAcentral's name for it is "partial 16S ribosomal RNA". It matches the Rfam family "Bacterial small subunit ribosomal RNA", at positions 30 to 526 of the family's 1533-position model. The record is from RNAcentral.
AUUGAACGCUGGCGGCAGACCUAACACAUGCAAGUCGAGCGAGCGGCGGACGGGUGAGUAAUGUCUGGGAAACUGCCUGAUGGAGGGGGAUAACUACUGGAAACGGUAGCUAAUACCGCAUACCAUCAAAUGUGCCCAGAUGGGGUUGGCUAGUAGGUGGGGUAACGUCCCACCUCGGCGACGAUCCCUAGCUGGGCUGAGAGGAUGACCAGCCACACGGGAACUGAGCCACGGUCUAGACUCCUACGGGAGGCAGCAGUGGGGAAUAUUGCACAAUGGGCUCAAGCCUGAUGCAGCCAUGCCGCGUGUUUGAGGAAGGCCUUCGGGUUGUAAAGCACUUUCAGCGGGGAGGCGUUACCCGCAGAAGAAGCACCGGCUAACUCCGUGCCAGCAGCCGCGGUAAUUC